AGUGCAAUGCCUGCCUUUCUCAUACUGCUCCAAGAGUAAUCAUGGCCUUCUCACAAAGGGAGUGGAUGGCCUGUCCCCAUUUCUCUUUCUUGGUAAAUAUACCGUUGGCAUAUAUUAGCACAACAUUUUCGUAAAAAGUUGAAAAGGUUGAUUUAGGUUCAGACGGGUAUCUGUGCAAUAGAGUUUUUCUGUUUCCUGUGUCUCUAGUCUGGG
RNAcentral lists this long non-coding RNA (213 nucleotides) under Hordeum vulgare. Its description in RNAcentral is "long non-coding RNA (HVUL_LNC006442)". Lineage: Eukaryota; Viridiplantae; Streptophyta; Magnoliopsida; Poales; Poaceae. The record is from RNAcentral.